Molecule: long non-coding RNA, 535 nt
Filed under: Nicotiana tabacum (common tobacco)
Lineage: Eukaryota; Viridiplantae; Streptophyta; Magnoliopsida; Solanales; Solanaceae
Description: long non-coding RNA (NTAB_LNC001697)
Source: RNAcentral
UCCCACAUCAUGUGUUUAAAGAGAAAGCAGAAAAGGGGAUAAAUUGAAAACCAAUCCCCAGCAGGCUAGAGACCCCCAACAGGCAACUUUGCCCGCCAACCAAUUAUGGGGACAAAGAGCAAGAAAAGGGGAAGAGAGAAAAAUUGCUCGCCAGAAAGGCACCCUCUACCACCACGAUUAAAACUGAUUAAAUCCUUUUGUCUGUUGCAGGAGAACAAAGAAUUAAUGAUGGCAGCAAGAUGCAACGCCAUGGAAGUCACCAAAAACCGGGGCAGAAAAUUUUCUGCCGAUUGUCGAAAAUUUUCUCGAAAAACGGGGAAGCAAUUUCAAUACUUUCAAGUUCUAGGUCGCCCACCAGUAUAAUGCGGGAAUACAUUUAAGUUCUAGGUCGCCCACCAGUAUAAUGCGGGAAUACAUUUAAGUUCUAGGUCGCCCACCAGUAUAAUGCGGGAAUACAUUUAUGUUCUAGGUCGCCCACCAGUAUAAUGCGGGAAUACAUUUAAGUUCUAGGUCGCCCACCGGUGUAAUGCGGGAA